Molecule: long non-coding RNA, 239 nt
Filed under: Gallus gallus (chicken)
Lineage: Eukaryota; Metazoa; Chordata; Aves; Galliformes; Phasianidae
Source: RNAcentral
GUUUAAGAAGGAUGUGGAGCAGAAGCAUUUGGACUACAGCCUGGAGAGGAAAUUGCUGAAGAGGAUCUUGGAAUUUGAUCAUUUAUUGGACCUUUUAGGUAACCAGAGGGAAAGUCAUGUCUGAAGACGGAAUACAAGCAUCCUUAGCUCUAUGUGCUGCAGCUUAUCACUUCCUAUACCCACUUUCUGUCAUGACCCCUGACCUUUUGAUCAACUGUAUGGCUGGAUCUGAGGCUGCC